AGCUCUUGGGCGCGCGUGUAGUGCACUUUCGCCGGUGUGGAGUUCGCAGUGUGGUGUGGCUGUAGCUCUUGUCGAGCACCCCUCCUCCUACAUCCUCAUCAACACGGGAUGUCCGACAAAGUUGCUCGCUUCCUGCGUGUGCACUGCCACUGCAGUUUGGCAAGGAGCCUCCAGAAAAAUAGCUCUCUCAACUCGUUGCGGUUCCCCGGCGGCGGGAGAGAAGUGCACUGCACUAGGGUGGCUGGCGUCAUUUUUUUAAUUAUUUCAUCUUGCUGUAUGGUUCAGUCUCGCCAUGUUAUGUCGUUCACUUGAGGUAUCCUAUUGUUUGCAUUGGCAGCCCAUGUAGUUCUUUAAAAGAGAAUGUAGAGAUAAAAAUGCUGGUAAAAAGCAUUGUACAAUUCGUUUUGCUCA
Molecule: long non-coding RNA, 411 nt
Organism: Triticum dicoccoides
Lineage: Eukaryota; Viridiplantae; Streptophyta; Magnoliopsida; Poales; Poaceae
Exons: 2
Source: RefSeq, a predicted model, not a curated record